CCUACGGGUGGCAGCAGUGAGGAAUAUUGGUCAAUGGACGAGAGUCUGAACCAGCCAAGUAGCGUGAAGGAUGACUGCCCUAUGGGUUGUAAACUUCUUUUAUAAAGGAAUAAAACGAGGCACGUGUGCCUUUUUGCAUGUACUUUAUGAAUAAGGAUCGGUUAACUCCGUGCCAGCAGCCGCGGUAAUACGGAGGAUCCGAGCGUUGUCCGGAUUUAUUGGGUUUAAAGGGAGCGGAGAUGGGUUGUUAAGUCAGUUGUGAAAGUUUGCGGCUCAACCGUAAAAUUGCAAUUGAUACUGGCAGUCUUGAGUACAGUUGAGGUAGGCGGAAUUCGUGGUGUAGCGGUGAAAUGCGUAGAUAUCACGAAGAACCCCGAUGGCGAAGGCAGCUUACUAAACUGUGACUGACAUUGAUGCUCGAAAGUGUGGGUAGCAAACAGGAUUAGAUACCCUUGUAGUC
Molecule: ribosomal RNA, 460 nt
Filed under: uncultured bacterium
Lineage: Bacteria
Description: partial 16S ribosomal RNA
Rfam family: Bacterial small subunit ribosomal RNA
Source: RNAcentral